Molecule: non-coding RNA, 87 nt
Organism: Ataeniobius toweri
Lineage: Eukaryota; Metazoa; Chordata; Actinopteri; Cyprinodontiformes; Goodeidae
Source: the annotation of a GenBank genome assembly
GGCUUCGUGGCGCAAUGGAUAGCGCGUUGGACUUCUAGGCUAAGCAAAGUGAUUCAAAGGUUGUGGGUUUGAGUCCUACCGGAGUCA